CAACAAUAAAAAAUACUACAAAUAAAAAUACAGUACAACUAUUUACAUAGCAUUUACAUUUUAUUAGGUGUUAUAAGUAAUCUAGAGAUGAUGUAAAAGUUAUGUGCAAAUACUGUGCCAUUUUAUAUAAGGGACUUAGAGCAUCCCUGAAUUUUGGUAUCUGCAGGGAUCUUGGAACUAAUCCCCAGUGGAUACUGAGGGACAACUGUGUGUAUUUUCACAAGGCUUUGUCGUUUCUCGGAGCUUUCACUGAUGAAUAAAAUCUAGGUGAUCUCAACUCAGGGGUAAAAGUCAUUUUUGGCUGCUUUCUUUGUGGGUUUUUCUUACAUAGAGCAUGAAAGAAAAAACUCACCGAAUCUAUCCAAGUCUAGGAUUAAAUUAUUUCUGUCUUUCGGGCUGAAGAUGGAUUUGAUGCUGAUGACUAAAGAUAGCCAGUUGCCCCUUGUUACAGGUGGGUCCUCACAAAUUUGGCCAGUAGAAAGCUGCAGUGGAGACACUGUUAAGACUGCAAGAAUAUCAGUUCCUCAUGUCACAGUCAGCUGCUCUGGUCCAUGCACCUCUGCCAACUUCCAGUGGCUAAUAAGCUUUUGGCCCAGUGAUGGAAGCAAUGGUGCCAAUGACAAAUAUAAACAAGGUCCUCUGCCAGGAGCAAAAGCUGAAAUCUUUCUGGUAAUUGCAGCCUGACAUGUGCAUGGCCCCAGGAUCGUGUGCCAUCUCCACCACAGUCAUUUACUAUCUGUCGUGGCUCCAGGGACCUCAUACAACAUAAUGGCUGCCAUGGACACCGCAUUAUCCUGAAUAUGCCAGGGCAAAAUGACAUCAUUCUUUUUGUAACUCCCCAGAGUUGGGAAUGAAUGGAUAUUAGGAAGGACAUCCACAGAGCUGGUCAGUCAAGAAUGAAACCUAUGCACCAAACUGAGAAAAGCUGUUGAUAGAGGAAUUUUAAAGAAGGAAUAGGGAGAGGACUACUUCUCUGUUUUUAGCUGGAAGUUCUAUCAUGUACAAAUGCUUUUGAUCACUACUUACAGCAUGUCCAGCAAUGAUGGCUUGAAAAUGGGAGAUUAUUGUAUGACAAGAAGUCCUAUGCAGGAGGAUUUUCUGGUUAUAACAACUGCUCUAUCAUGCAUCAAGGACAUAGGUUAUAUAUGUCUUUUCUGUCCUUCAUUCUCAAACUAAAAUGAUUCUCUGUGAAAGAAGCUGUAAAGACUCUCUACAAAAAAUCAGAGUGACUGUCAACCAUCUGUGCAAAUACACACCCACCAGAGAUAAUAAAGGUGCUUAGAGAAACAUAAAUGUAAAGUGGGCUCCCACAUCUAUAGAGGCAUUCAGAGCCUGAGAAAAGAGCUCCAACAAAUUUCACCUCUAGCAGCCUGAGUGGACUAUAACAGCUAUUCCUAAGGAAUAAUGCUACCGAUUAAUAAAGAUAGAAAAGUAAGAUGUAAUGUAAGUUAUAUCCAGGAUUGGUCUUUCUUUCUUUCUUUCUUUCUA
RNAcentral lists this long non-coding RNA (1488 nucleotides) under Homo sapiens (human). RNAcentral's name for it is "HSALNT0377199". The record is from RNAcentral. Lineage: Eukaryota; Metazoa; Chordata; Mammalia; Primates; Hominidae.